GCCAGGCAUAGUGGUGCUCGCCUGUGAUCCCGGCAACGUGGGAGGCUGAGGCAGGAGGAUCGCAAGUUCAAAGCCAGCCUCAGCAAUUUAGUGAGGCCCUAAGCAACUCAGUGAGACCCUGUCUCUA
This 127-nucleotide small RNA is filed under the name Marmota monax (woodchuck). The record is from RNAcentral. Lineage: Eukaryota; Metazoa; Chordata; Mammalia; Rodentia; Sciuridae.